AACCUUAUGGACCUGCGGGCGUAUACCUGCGGAAGGAUCAUUACAUGGCGGAGAAGGUGGGCACCUGGCCAAAAAAAACUCCAGGUUGUCAUGCCUUCACGCUCUUCCACCCUUGUCUAUUUGUACCUUUUGUCGUUCCCUCGGCGGGUUUCGACCCGCCGGCGGUAACCAUUGAAAACCCUUUUUGCAGUUUAGCAUCCAAUUCUUCUGAUCAAAUAUCAAAUCGUUACAACUUUCAGC
RNAcentral lists this unclassified non-coding RNA (240 nucleotides) under soil metagenome. RNAcentral's name for it is "partial contains 5.8S ribosomal RNA, internal transcribed spacer 2, and large subunit ribosomal RNA". The record is from RNAcentral.